GUGCCAGCCGCCGCGGUAAUACCGGCAGCCCAAGUGAUGGCCGCUGUUAUUGGGCCUAAAGCGUCCGUAGCUGGCCGCACAAGUCCGUCGGGAAAUCCGCCCGCUCAACGGGCGGCCGUCCGGCGGAACCUGUGUGGCUUGGGACCGGGAGGCCUGAGGGGUACGAUCGGGGUAGGAGUGAAAUCCUGUAAUCCCGCACGGACCACCGAUGGCGAAAGCACUUCGAGAAAACGGAUCCGACAGUGAGGGACGAAAGCCGGGGUCUCCAACCGGAUUAGAGACCCUAGUGUCC
Molecule: ribosomal RNA, 292 nt
Filed under: uncultured bacterium
Lineage: Bacteria
Description: partial 16S ribosomal RNA
Rfam family: Archaeal small subunit ribosomal RNA
Source: RNAcentral